Molecule: ribosomal RNA, 273 nt
Filed under: Staphylococcus aureus
Lineage: Bacteria; Bacillati; Bacillota; Bacilli; Caryophanales; Staphylococcaceae
Description: partial 23S ribosomal RNA
Rfam family: Bacterial large subunit ribosomal RNA
Source: RNAcentral
GUAGGAAAUUUGAGAGGAGCUGUCCUUAGUACGAGAGGACCGGGAUGGACAUACCUCUGGUGUACCAGUUGUCGUGCCAACGGCAUAGCUGGGUAGCUAUGUGUGGACGGGAUAAGUGCUGAAAGCAUCUAAGCAUGAAGCCCCCCUCAAGAUGAGAUUUCCCAACUUCGGUUAUAAGAUCCCUCAAAGAUGAUGAGGUUAAUAGGUUCGAGGUGGAAGCAUGGUGACAUGUGGAGCUGACGAAUACUAAUCGAUCGAAGACUUAAUCAAAUU